GGGUGUGGAUCCUUCUUAGGUAUCCUACCUAUUGGUGUGAGGUGUCACAUCAUCACAUCUCAUUCCUCAAUUGAUUGAGUUGCGAAGUCAAUUAGAUUGGAGUUCAUCCUGCUUUCCUAUGGCAUCUAACGUGCAUGCGAAGUAGAGGGUCUGCAUAUCCAGGCCUCCGUAAAUAUUUAUAUCAAAUAAUUUUAGAUUUGAUCUUUGAUUUUGUAGUGAUUCAGAUAAAGAUUUGAUCCUUAAAUAAGUAGAAUAUUAAAAAAAAUUUUGAGAUGCAACCUGAACAUUCUAAAGGAAAACUGUUCCCUUCCCUUCAACUAGUAUCA
This 326-nucleotide long non-coding RNA is filed under the name Elaeis guineensis (African oil palm). RNAcentral's name for it is "long non-coding RNA (EGUI_LNC074190)". The record is from RNAcentral. Lineage: Eukaryota; Viridiplantae; Streptophyta; Magnoliopsida; Arecales; Arecaceae.